Bombyx mori (domestic silkworm) is the source of this 84-nucleotide non-coding RNA. The record is from Rfam. Lineage: Eukaryota; Metazoa; Arthropoda; Insecta; Lepidoptera; Bombycidae.
UUAGCUCAUAUUGGUAUGGAAUGGGAUCGUUUGCGUACGUUUGCCGCUAGGGGCGCUGUUCCAACUGCAUACAAAGUUAAGUUA